GAUUCGUCACACUAUCAUUAACUGAAUCCAUAGGUUAAUGAGGCGAACCGGGGGAACUGAAACAUCUAAGUACCCCGAGGAAAAGAAAUCAACCGAGAUUCCCCCAGUAGCGGCGAGCGAACGGGGAGGAGCCCAGAGCCUGAAUCAGCAUGUGUGUUAGUGGAAGCGUCUGGAAAGGCGCGCGAUACAGGGUGACAGCCCCGUACACAAAAGCGCAUGUGCUGUGAGCUCGAUGAGUAGGGCGGGACACGUGGUAUCCUGUCUGAAUAUGGGGGGACCAUCCUCCAAGGCUAAAUACUCCUGACUGACCGAUAGUGAACCAGUACCGUGAGGGAAAGGCGAAAAGAACCCCGGCGAGGGGAGUGAAAAAGAACCUGAAACCGUGUACGUACAAGCAGUGGGAGCCCCACCACUAAGCCAGUGGUGAACUCCACAUCCGCAUCCUUUGCUGAGGAUACGGUUAACGGAGCGAAAGCGACGUUCAACCGCAAAACAAGCAGAGGGGGCUUAGUGGUGGGGUGACUGCGUACCUUUUGUAUAAUGGGUCAGCGACUUAUAUUCUGUAGCAAGGUUAACCGUAUAGGGGAGCCGGAGGGAAACCGAGUCUUAAUUGGGCGUUAAGUUGCAGGGUAUAGACCCGAAACCCGGUGAUCUAGCCAUGGGCAGGUUGAAGGUUGGGUAACACUAACUGGAGGACCGAACCGACUAAUGUUGAAAAAUUAGCGGAUGACCUGUGGCUGGGGGUGAAAGGCCAAUCAAACCGGGAGAUAGCUGGUUCUCCCCGAAAGCUAUUUAGGUAGCGCCUCGUGAAUUCAUCUCCGGGGGUAGAGCACUGUUUCGGCUAGGGGGCCAUCCCGGCUUACCAACCCGAUGCAAACUGCGAAUACCGGAGAAUGUUAUCACGGGAGACACACGGCGGGUGCUAACGUCCGUCGUGAAGAGGGAAACAACCCAGACCGCCAGCUAAGGUCCCAAAGUCAUGGUUAAGUGGGAAACGAUGUGGGAAGGCCCAGACAGCCAGGAUGUUGGCUUAGAAGCAGCCAUCAUUUAAAGAAAGCGUAAUAGCUCACUGGUCGAGUCGGCCUGCGCGGAAGAUGUAACGGGGCUAAACCAUGCACCGAAGCUGCGGCAGCGAACGUAUCACCCAAGACAACUUUACGGAGUUGACGAUUGACGGAGCGAAGCGACGUCAAAGCGUUCAUUAAAGUCGAGUUGGCUUAGGGAUACGUUCGUUGGGUAGGGGAGCGUUCUGUAAGCCUGUGAAGGUGUGUCGUGAGGCAUGCUGGAGGUAUCAGAAGUGCGAAUGCUGACAUAAGUAACGAUAAAGCGGGUGAAAAGCCCGCUCGCCGGAAGACCAAGGGUUCCUGUCCAACGUUAAUCGGGGCAGGGUGAGUCGACCCCUAAGGCGAGGCCGAAAGGCGUAGUCGAUGGGAAACGGGUUAAUAUUCCCGUACUUGGUGUUACUGCGAAGGGGGGACGGAGAAGGCUAUGUUGGCCGGGCGACGGUUGUCCCGGUUUAAGCGUGUAGGUGUGUGUUCCAGGUAAAUCCGGUUCACUUUAACACUGAGGCGUGACGACGAGGCACUACGGUGCUGAAGCAACAAAUGCCCUGCU
RNAcentral lists this ribosomal RNA (1614 nucleotides) under Salmonella enterica subsp. enterica serovar Typhimurium. RNAcentral describes it as "partial 23S ribosomal RNA". It matches the Rfam family "Bacterial large subunit ribosomal RNA", at positions 137 to 1606 of the family's 2925-position model. The record is from RNAcentral. Lineage: Bacteria; Pseudomonadati; Pseudomonadota; Gammaproteobacteria; Enterobacterales; Enterobacteriaceae.